This 524-nucleotide ribosomal RNA is filed under the name uncultured bacterium. RNAcentral describes it as "partial 16S ribosomal RNA". It matches the Rfam family "Bacterial small subunit ribosomal RNA", at positions 28 to 523 of the family's 1533-position model. The record is from RNAcentral.
GACGAACGCUGGCGGCGUGCCUAAUACAUGCAAGUCGAGCGCAGGAAAUCAUCCGAACCCUUCGGGGGGACGUUGAUGGAAUGAGCGGCGGACGGGUGAGUAGCACGUAAAGAACCUGCCCUCAGGUCUGGGAUAACCACGAGAAAUCGGGGCUAAUACCGGAUGGGUCAUCGGACCGCAUGGUCCGAGGAUGAAAGGCGCGUCGGCGUCGCCUGGGGAUGGCGUGGCGGUGCAUUAGCUAGUUGGUGGGGUAAUGGCCCACCAAGGCGACGAUGCAUAGCCGACCUGAGAGGGUGAGCGGCCACACUGGGACUGAGACACGGCCCAGACUCCUACGGGAGGCAGCAGUAGGGAAUCUUCCACAAUGGACGAAAGUCUGAUGGAGCAACGCCGCGUGAACGAUGAAGGCCUUCGGGUCGUAAAGUUCUGUUGUAAGGGAAGAACAAGUGCCGCAGGCAAUGGCGGCACCUUGACGGUACCUUGCGAGAAAGCCACGGCUAACUACGUGCCAGCAGCCGCCGUAA